RNAcentral lists this ribosomal RNA (498 nucleotides) under uncultured bacterium. RNAcentral's name for it is "partial 16S ribosomal RNA". It matches the Rfam family "Bacterial small subunit ribosomal RNA", at positions 28 to 507 of the family's 1533-position model. The record is from RNAcentral.
GACGAACGCUGGCGGCGUGCCUAAUACAUGCAAGUCGAACGAGAGCGACCGGUGCUUGCACUGGUCAAUCUAGUGGCGAACGGGUGAGUAACACGUGGGUAACCUGCCCAUCAGAGGGGGAUAACAUUCGGAAACGGAUGCUAAAACCGCAUAGGUCUUCGAACCGCAUGGUUUGAAGAGGAAAAGAGGCGCAAGCUUCUGCUGAUGGAUGGACCCGCGGUGCAUUAGCUAGUUGGUGAGGUAACGGCUCACCAAGGCCGUGAUGCAUAGCCGACCUGAGAGGGUGAUCGGCCACAUUGGGACUGAGACACGGCCCAAACUCCUACGGGAGGCAGCAGUAGGGAAUCUUCCGCAAUGGACGCAAGUCUGACGGAGCAACGCCGCGUGAGUGAAGAAGGUUCUCGGAUCGUAAAACUCUGUUGUUAGAGAAGAAUAAGUGCUAGAGUAACUGUUAGCGCCUUGACGGUAUCUAACUAGAAAGCCACGGCUAACUACGUG